UACGAAGGGGGCUAGCGUUGUUCGGAAUCACUGGGCGUAAAGGGCGCGUAGGCGGCUUUAUAAGUCGGGGGUGAAAGCCUGUGGCUCAACCACAGAAUUGCCUUCGAUACUGGCAAUCUUGAGUCCGGGAGAGGUGAGUGGAACUGCGAGUGUAGAGGUGAAAUUCGUAGAUAUUCGCAAGAACACCAGUGGCGAAGGCGGCUCACUGGCCCGAUACUGACGCUGAGGCACGAAAGCGUGGGGAGCAAACAGG
Molecule: ribosomal RNA, 253 nt
Filed under: uncultured bacterium
Lineage: Bacteria
Description: partial 16S ribosomal RNA
Rfam family: Bacterial small subunit ribosomal RNA
Source: RNAcentral